This 283-nucleotide unclassified non-coding RNA is filed under the name Melitaea cinxia (Glanville fritillary). RNAcentral's name for it is "misc RNA ENSMCXG00005012940.1". Lineage: Eukaryota; Metazoa; Arthropoda; Insecta; Lepidoptera; Nymphalidae. The record is from RNAcentral.
CAAAAACCUAAACCAGUUAACCGAAAAUUCGACUCUACUUUGAAAAAGAAUAUCACCGACGAUAUCAACCGAUGAUACCACAAAUGCACAAGCCUAUAACAUUGAGAACAGCCCAUCGCGCAAAGAAGUCGGCUUAUUUAGAUUACAUGUCCGAUGAUGAGGUUGCUUUGUUAAAUGCCUUCGGCGAUGUUGGAAACUCUGAUGAGUGGGAACCGGAAGUAAGUGGCAAGAAAAAGAAGAAAUUAUCAGUUGACCCCGAAGAAGAGACAGUAGGUGAUAGGAA